GCGCUUACCACUUUGUGAUUCAUGACUGGGGUGAAGUCGUAACAAGGUAACCGUAGGGGAACCUGCGGUUGGAUCACCUCCUUACC
RNAcentral lists this ribosomal RNA (86 nucleotides) under Providencia rettgeri. Its description in RNAcentral is "partial 16S ribosomal RNA". It matches the Rfam family "Bacterial small subunit ribosomal RNA", at positions 1450 to 1533 of the family's 1533-position model. The record is from RNAcentral. Lineage: Bacteria; Pseudomonadati; Pseudomonadota; Gammaproteobacteria; Enterobacterales; Morganellaceae. RNAcentral also lists the same sequence under 2 other names.